UACGUAGGGUGCGAGCGUUGUCCGGAAUUACUGGGCGUAAAGAGCUCGUAGGUGGUUUGUCGCGUUGUUCGUGAAAACUCACAACUCAAUUGUGGGCGUGCGGGCGAUACGGGCAGACUAGAGUUCGGCAGGGGAGACUGGAAUUCCUGGUGUAGCGGUGAAAUGCGCAGAUAUCAGGAGGAACACCGGUGGCGAAGGCGGGUCUCUGGGCCGAUACUGACGCUGAGGAGCGAAAGCGUGGGGAGCAAACAGG
This 253-nucleotide ribosomal RNA is filed under the name uncultured bacterium. RNAcentral's name for it is "partial 16S ribosomal RNA". It matches the Rfam family "Bacterial small subunit ribosomal RNA", at positions 524 to 776 of the family's 1533-position model. The record is from RNAcentral.